UACCAGCUCCCCGAGUGGUGGGGACGAUUAUUGGGCUUAAAGCGUCCGUAGCCGGCUUGGCAAGUCUUUCGUUAAAUCCAGCGGCUUAACCGUUGGGCUGUGGGAGAUACUGUCAGGCUAGGGGGCGGAAGAGGCCGACGGUAUUCUCGGGGUAGGGGUGAAAUCCUAUAAUCCCGGGAAGACCACCAGUGGCGAAGGCGGUCGGCUAGUACGCGCUCGACGGUGAGGGACGAAAGCUGGGGGAGCGAACCGGAUUAGAUACCCGGGUAGUCCCAGCUGUAAACGAUGCGAGCUAGGUGUUGGGGCGGCUACGUGCCGCUUCGGUGCCGCAGGGAAGCCAUUAAGCUCGCCGCCUGGGAAGUACGGCCGCAAGGCUGAGACUUAAAGGAAUUGGCGGGGGAGCACUACAAGGCGUGAAGCUUGCGGUUC
Molecule: ribosomal RNA, 429 nt
Filed under: uncultured archaeon
Lineage: Archaea
Description: bacterial SSU rRNA
Rfam family: Archaeal small subunit ribosomal RNA
Source: RNAcentral